GGCAGCGGAUCGCCUCGCUCUCUUUCCCCGCCGUUGCUGCGCAGAGGAGAAGUCACGAGGGAGGCCCGAGAUGUUCCUCAUGAUGAAAAGUAACCCAACGUUGCAUCGCUUGAUCGUCAUCACGGGCUGCUCGUAUCAAAUGCUGUUUGGACACCUGUCGGAGCCGGAUGGAGGCUGAGGGCUCUGCCGGUCAUUACGCUGCUGUUGUGACACCACAAUCUGCCAUGGCAGUAUGAUAACUAAAGGAAAUAAGUCCCAGAGAGGAGCCCGGACAAGAGGACGGCUGCCAUCUGCUUGUGCGAGAAGCUUCCAGAGGCUUAAAGAGUCGACCCAUCAGAAGAGAUUUUCUUCUCAGCUGAUACUUUGCAGGUCAAAGCGGCAAACGCCUGGAUGAAAGCAGACCGGUGGAACUGCUGGCUUCAUUUUUCUGAAAUGUGCCAUUGGCAUAAUGAUUCCACACCGUAUGAGUCGCUGCAAUGUGAAAAUUGAACUACAUUUUGUCUGUUUAUAAAAACAAGAUUAAAGACUUAAGCAGUCUGUGCUGAUAUCAUUACUAAA
Gasterosteus aculeatus aculeatus (three-spined stickleback) is the source of this 558-nucleotide non-coding RNA. NCBI's taxonomy places the organism in Eukaryota, Metazoa, Chordata, Actinopteri, Perciformes, Gasterosteidae. The record is from RefSeq and is a predicted model, not a curated record.